AGCGAACGCUGGCGGCAGGCUUAACACAUGCAAGUCGAGCGGGCACUUUCGGGUGUCAGCGGCGGACGGGUGAGUAACGCGUGGGAACGUGCCCUCUGGUUCGGAAUAACUCAGGGAAACUUGAGCUAAUACCGGAUACGCCCUUUUGGGGAAAGGCUUGCUGCCGGAGGAUCGGCCCGCGUCUGAUUAGCUAGUUGGUGAGGUAACGGCUCACCAAGGCGACGAUCAGUAGCUGGUCUGAGAGGAUGAUCAGCCACACUGGGACUGAGACACGGCCCAGACUCCUACGGGAAGCAGCAGUGGGGAAUAUUGGACAAUGGGCGCAAGCCUGAUCCAGCCAUGCCGCGUGAGUGAUGAAGGCCUUAGGGUUGUAAGGCUCUUUUAUCCGGGACGAUAAUGACGGUACCGGAGGAAUAAGCCCCGGCUAACUUCGUG
This 435-nucleotide ribosomal RNA is filed under the name uncultured bacterium. Its description in RNAcentral is "partial 16S ribosomal RNA". It matches the Rfam family "Bacterial small subunit ribosomal RNA", at positions 29 to 507 of the family's 1533-position model. The record is from RNAcentral.